Long non-coding RNA from Musca domestica (house fly), 658 nucleotides. RefSeq lists it as uncharacterized. NCBI's taxonomy places the organism in Eukaryota, Metazoa, Arthropoda, Insecta, Diptera, Muscidae. The transcript has 2 exons. The record is from RefSeq and is a predicted model, not a curated record.
UAUAAUUAAAACAAAAAACUUAUUAAUGUUUUGAAUUCUCUGCCAGACUUCGUGCCACAUUCUAUGUGACAGAAAUUAAUUUUCUAAAUUUAGAACUUGCCAGUUCACUUUAAAUCAUUUAAAAAGGAGAGAAGACAAAGCAGGGCUAAUGUAUGAUUCUUGUUAAAUAUCAACAAAAUGAAAGGCAAAAAGGGCCUGCCUGCUUGCCUGGCCCGCCGGUAUCUGGUGGUAAUAUCAAUAAUACGGACAUAGAGACAACAAACCAGCAUACGGGUAGUGAUGAUCGCCAGAAGAAGAUGCAACAAGAUAAUGAUCAUUAGCCUUAGUAUGGCCGCAGGAGAAGAUGCUACUGCUGCAACUUGGCUGGGCAGGAGUGCUAUCUUUCCCUGGGUUUCCAUUUAAUUUUUGCUGGUUUGUUUGAAAAAACGAGAGAAAAAAGAUGGCAAAAAAUAUGUUUUGUAUUCUGGCAUCUUCGCAGUCGAAGCAGAGGCCCACAUCUGUUUCAUAUAUUUGUUGAUGUUGUUUUUUUUUUUUUUUUGUUCUUUGUUUAUUCGCAUUCUCCGUUUUUUUUUAUUAAACCGUAACGGCUCUACUUCCCACAUAGGACAUAUCACCCGUAAAUAUAAAUAUUUAGUAUAGCGUGAAUUUGUUUAAAACA